RNAcentral lists this long non-coding RNA (565 nucleotides) under Helianthus annuus (common sunflower). RNAcentral describes it as "sRNA HanXRQr2_Chr11g0506391". Lineage: Eukaryota; Viridiplantae; Streptophyta; Magnoliopsida; Asterales; Asteraceae. The record is from RNAcentral.
UUCAUCUUCAACCUUCAUACUCAUCUGAACCAUCAUCUCCUUCAUCUUCAGUUUGGAUCAAUUACUCAAGAACAAAAAGCAUAAUCUUGAUGAACAACAUUAAGGUUAAUCCUUGUUUUCUUGUAAGAGCUUAAACGGGUACUUGGGUAGAAUGGGUUGAAAUGAUUUAAUGCAUAAAAUAUUCCAAAAUCGUAUUAUUUGAUGGGCAAAGUAUUGCGAGUUUGCGACUGUUUCUCAUGACAGGACAAUAAACUAUGGUCUAGCAAAAAUGCUGAAAAGGAUAAGGCAAUGGAUGUUGAUUGAAUCUCUUUAGGCAAAUUGUAUACGAGGUAAAGUCUGUGAAGAUGAAGGGGAUGAUGUUCAUAUGAAUAUGAAAGUUAAAGAUGAAGGAAAUUAGGGUAUUAAAAGGGGGAAAGACAAGUGGGGAGGUGAAUUGACCGUUCUACCCUCAUGUGUAGUGCACAUGACAUAACUUAACUGAAAAUUAUAACUGGGUUUGCUCUAAAGGACAUAACGUGCAAGAUUUUCAAACAUUAAGUACAAAAGUCAUCAAUUUUAAAGGUAA